AACUUUCAGCAACGGAUCUCUUGGCUCUCGCAUCGAUGAAGAACGCAGCGAAAUGCGAUAAGUAAUGUGAAUUGCAGAAUUCAGUGAAUCAUCGAAUCUUUGAACGCACCUUGCGCUCCUUGGUAUUCCGAGGAGCAUGCCUGUUUGAGUGUCAGUA
This 157-nucleotide ribosomal RNA is filed under the name Leucoagaricus rubrotinctus. RNAcentral's name for it is "5.8S ribosomal RNA". It matches the Rfam family "5.8S ribosomal RNA". From Rfam's summary of the family: 5.8S ribosomal RNA (5.8S rRNA) is a component of the large subunit of the eukaryotic ribosome. The record is from RNAcentral. Lineage: Eukaryota; Fungi; Basidiomycota; Agaricomycetes; Agaricales; Agaricaceae. RNAcentral also lists the same sequence under 3 other names.